RNAcentral lists this ribosomal RNA (404 nucleotides) under uncultured bacterium. RNAcentral's name for it is "bacterial SSU rRNA". It matches the Rfam family "Bacterial small subunit ribosomal RNA", at positions 355 to 776 of the family's 1533-position model. The record is from RNAcentral.
UGGGGAAUAUUGGACAAUGGGCGAAAGCCUGAUCCAGCCAUGCCGCGUGGAUGAUGAAGGCUCUUGGGUUGUAAAAUCCUUUCGCCGGGGAAGAUAAUGACGGUACCCGGUAAAGAAGCUCCGGCUAACUUCGUGCCAGCAGCCGCGGUAAUACGAAGGGGGCUAGCGUUGUUCGGAAUUACUGGGCGUAAAGCGCACGUAGGCGGAUAGGUAAGUCAGGGGUGAAAUCCCAGAGCCCAACUCUGGAACUGCCUUUGAUACUGCCGAUCUCGAGGAUGACAGAGGCAAGUGGAAUUCCGAGUGUAGAGGUGAAAUUCGUAGAUAUUCGGAGGAACACCAGUGGCGAAGGCGACUUGCUGGGUCAUUUCUGACGCUGAGGUGCGAAAGCGUGGGGAGCAAACAGG